UACCAGGCCACUGAGAGGGCCCAAUCUUGUCUGAUCUUGGAAGCUAAGCUGGGUGUUAUCUGGUUAGUUCUUGGAUGGGGGACCGCUGGGAAUACCAGGUUCUGUAC
Molecule: ribosomal RNA, 107 nt
Filed under: Periophthalmus magnuspinnatus
Lineage: Eukaryota; Metazoa; Chordata; Actinopteri; Gobiiformes; Gobiidae
Source: RNAcentral